CCUACGGGAGGCAGCAGUGGGGAAUAUUGCACAAUGGGCGAAAGCCUGAUGCAGCAACGCCGCGUGAAGGAUGAAGGGUUUCGGCUCGUAAACUUCUAUCAACAGGGACGAAAAAAAUGACGGUACCUGAAUAAGAAGCCCCGGCUAACUACGUGCCAGCAGCCGCGGUAAUACGUAGGGGGCAAGCGUUAUCCGGAAUUACUGGGUGUAAAGGGAGAGUAGGCGGCAUGAUAAGUUAGAUGUGAAAGCCCGAGGCUUAACCUCGGGAUUGCAUUUAAAACUAUCAAGCUAGAGUACAGGAGAGGUAAGUGGAAUUCCUAGUGUAGCGGUGAAAUGCGUAGAUAUUAGGAAGAACACCAGUGGCGAAGGCGACUUACUGGACUGAAACUGACGCUGAGGCUCGAAAGCGUGGGGAGCGAACAGGAUUAGAUACCCCAGUA
Molecule: ribosomal RNA, 440 nt
Filed under: uncultured Anaerotignum sp.
Lineage: Bacteria; Bacillati; Bacillota; Clostridia; Lachnospirales; Anaerotignaceae
Description: bacterial SSU rRNA
Rfam family: Bacterial small subunit ribosomal RNA
Source: RNAcentral